UACGUAGGGUGCGAGCGUUAAUCGGAAUUACUGGGCGUAAAGCGUGCGCAGGCGGUUAUGUAAGACAGAUGUGAAAUCCCCGGGCUUAACCUGGGAACUGCGUUUGUGACUGCAUAACUAGAGUACGGCAGAGGGGGGUGGGAAUUCCUGGUGUAGCAGUGAAAUGCGUAGAUAUCAGGAGGAACAUCGAUGGCGAAGGCAGCCCCCUGGGCCUGUACUGACGCUCAUGCACGAAAGCGUGGGGAGCAAACAGG
This 254-nucleotide ribosomal RNA is filed under the name uncultured bacterium. RNAcentral describes it as "partial 16S ribosomal RNA". It matches the Rfam family "Bacterial small subunit ribosomal RNA", at positions 524 to 776 of the family's 1533-position model. The record is from RNAcentral.